Long non-coding RNA from Dermacentor silvarum, 336 nucleotides. RefSeq lists it as uncharacterized. The transcript has 3 exons. The record is from RefSeq and is a predicted model, not a curated record. Lineage: Eukaryota; Metazoa; Arthropoda; Arachnida; Ixodida; Ixodidae.
UGCUGGUGAGCUGCCUGCACCUUGGUGUCUGUGUAUUCGUCUCGACUUUGUGGCAUCACACGUCAACUACACUGAACGCGGGUGUCAUAGACUGCCAGGGAAUUUUCAUGAAAACAGCCAGGGAAAGCUUGGAAAAACAUCAGGGAAAUUGAAAAUGACAACAUAGCAUGCACCUGCAGCACCUUCGGAACGGCUGACACGAAGGUCAAGGCCAGCCAGGCAACCGUGCUUGCCAAGGGGAAGCAGCUUUAAAUAUGUAAAUAUUCUCUUUUGAUGAUAGCAUAAGACAUGCAUUUUAAUAAAUUAAUGUAUUAUAUCGUUCAAUAAAAACAUUUA